UCAAGCAAAUGAUAGAAAACAGUUCAGUCAGCCAUUCUUUUCUGUGCCUGCUUGACAAAUACCAAUAUAGUUGCAAUAAUACCUUUUGUUAUUUAAUAAUUUUCAGCCAUGAAAGUCACUCAAAUAGCAAGCUAUGUGAAGAUAAUUGAAAUGAAUAUUAUUGAAAAGGAAGGAACCUGUUCAGAUAAGAAAAAGCCCUAGACACCUUCUACUGAAACAUGAAAAUGUGGUUUAUUUGGUGGUGCAUCACGAGCAACAAUGAAUACAGAUAAAAAUAAUUUCUUCAACUUGGUAGCUGGCACACGAUUGUAAGAGAAAAAUGAACUCUUAAGGCCUUUGAUUUUUAUCUUGAAACAAGCAAAAGCAGCAUCUAUAUAAGCUAAUAGAAAUCUGUGCAGCACAAUCAAGGAUAAUCAAAUUGGCCAUCUAAAAAAGAACAUUAAUAAAAAUGUAAACCCUUUAAAACUGUUAUAUAAUGAAUUAUAUAGGAAGACAUCUACCGAGCAGUUUGAAAUCACUGGGCUCUCACUACUUACAUGAGGCAUGGAACAGGUUAGAAAUGCAAUUUAGCCUGGUAAGUGAGAGGUACGAUUGUUCCACAAAAGGGUUGCUGCAGACUAAACCUCAGUUACCAAUUGUUGAUUUCUCUUUAUUAGAUGUACAACUGAGACACGGAACCAUGGCAUGGUGCAAUCUUGUUCCACAAUCAAAACAGACAAUAAAUGCCACCUCUUAUAAGACGCAAAUAGAAUUCCUAAUUUCUUAAACCUAGCAGCCAGCAUGGUAUUGUAAGAAAACAUUGAAAGCCAAGGUUUUUAAUUUUUAUCCUAAAACAAGCAGAAGCAAAAUGUGUAUCUGGGAACAGAACUCCACGCAACACAAUAAAGAAGUACAGGUUAGCCAUCUAAGAAAGCACCUUAAAAAAAAUCAAAACCCUUUAUAUAUCAAAUGCUCUAGCAAGACCUCUACUGAGCAUUUUGAGAUCGCUGGGCUCUCAGUACUUGCAUGAAGCAUUAAACAGAUCAGAAAUGCAAUUGUGCCCUGUCACAUGAGAAGAAUGGUUUUACAAUAUAGAGCCUGAUAUAGAAUAAAAUUGCACCGGAUGCAUGAUUUUCACUUCAACUCAACUAAAUAUCAGUCAAACUAAUUGGGAUGGAUGUUUUCAUAUAUACAAUUAUUGACGUUGCUUCAUUAAAUGUACAAUAGGCAACUUAGAGAAUACCAAUUGCCUCUUACUCAUUAUCAACGUAAGACAUGGGAUACUCUAAGACAUUCCCUGCUUCAUAAUAGUCCCACAUAUAGAGCAUAGGCUCUAAGUCAAUUAGCAAUAGACCAGUAAGUCUCACAAUUUAAAGAAGGGUAGCUGCUCAAUAAAGAGGCUCCAAAGUUGAAAUUCUAGAUCAGAAAACACUAUAGGACACACCCCAUUGUAGCCAUUGAUGGAAUCUAAUUUGUAAUCAACGCAUUCAAUCCUGCACCUGCUAAAGUCUAGUGUACAAACUCCUAUGAUCGUCUUGAUAUCAUGUGCUAAACAAUGAACAGCUCCAUUCCAAAGCCAUGACAAGGGACAACCUUAUUUGAUGAGAAUCAUCAAGAAAAAACACAUGAACCGAUAGAGGUGUCAAUUGAGCCCAUUACAAGGUCAAGGGCCAAGAAGAUUAAAGAGGCACUCAAUGUGCUUAUUCAGGAUAUUUAGGUCAAGUUAAGCUUUCAGACUUCAAUAAGGGAUGAUCAACCUAUAAUUAAUGUAAAUCCACACAAGAAAAGGAAUUGAGGAAGUGACAAGGACAUGGAGGGGCAGUUUGGGCUUGGUUUCCUCAUGGUUUGCAGAUUCCUUUAGGAGUUGAACAAAUUUAAGUUGGAUUUUAGCUUUAUUUUUUUUAGUACACAGUUUUACACAAACAAACAUAAUUAUCUAUUCAACCGUUGAAUCAGACUGAA
Populus euphratica (Euphrates poplar) is the source of this 1941-nucleotide long non-coding RNA. RefSeq lists it as uncharacterized. Lineage: Eukaryota; Viridiplantae; Streptophyta; Magnoliopsida; Malpighiales; Salicaceae. The record is from RefSeq and is a predicted model, not a curated record. The transcript is spliced from 2 exons.